This 319-nucleotide ribosomal RNA is filed under the name uncultured eukaryote. Its description in RNAcentral is "partial 18S ribosomal RNA". It matches the Rfam family "Eukaryotic small subunit ribosomal RNA", at positions 1470 to 1796 of the family's 1831-position model. The record is from RNAcentral.
CCCUUAGAUGUUCUGGGCAGCACGCGCGCUACAAUGUUCUUCGCAAACGGAUGCAUUCUCGAAGGAGAAUGCCAAUCUUGGAAUCUAUGCCUUGGUCGGGACAGUUGCUUGCAAUUUUUCGACUCGAACCAGGAAUUCCUUGUAAUCGUGAUUCAUCACAUCACGAUGAAUACGUCCCUGCCCUUUGUACACACCGCCCGUCGCUCCUACCGAUCGAAGAGUUAGGUGAAUUGUUUUGAUCGAUAAGAUUUGACUAUGGUCAACUCUCGUUGUGAAAUUCUGUGAAUCUGACUGUUUAGAGGAAGGAAAAGUCGUAACA